This 468-nucleotide ribosomal RNA is filed under the name uncultured bacterium. RNAcentral's name for it is "partial 16S ribosomal RNA". It matches the Rfam family "Bacterial small subunit ribosomal RNA", at positions 28 to 507 of the family's 1533-position model. The record is from RNAcentral.
GACGAACGCUGGCGGCGUGCUUAACACAUGCAAGUCGAACGGCAAGGCCCUGCUUUCGUGGUGUGCUCGAGUGGCGAACGGGUGAGUAACACGUGAGUAACCUGCCCUUGACUUUGGGAUAACUUCAGGAAACUGGGGCUAAUACCGGAUAGGAGCUCCUGCUGCAUUGUGGGGGUUGGAAAGUUUCGGCUGUUGGGGAUGGACUCGCGGCUUAUCAGCUUGUUGGUGGGGUAGUGGCUUACCAAGGCAUUGACGGGUAGCCGGCCUGAGAGGGUGAGCGGCCACAUUGGGACUGAGAUACGGCACAGACGCCUACGGGAGGCAGCAGUGGGGAAUAUUGCACAAUGGGCGGAAGCCUGAUGCAGCAACGCCGCGUGCGGGAUGACGGCCUUCGGGUUGUAAACCGCUUUCGGCUGUGACGAAGCGUGAGUGACGGUAAUGGGUAAAGAAGCAACGGCUAACUACGUG